Molecule: ribosomal RNA, 433 nt
Filed under: uncultured bacterium
Lineage: Bacteria
Description: partial 16S ribosomal RNA
Rfam family: Bacterial small subunit ribosomal RNA
Source: RNAcentral
AACGAACGCUGGCGGCAUGCCUAACACAUGCAAGUCGAACGAGACCGUCGGGUCUAGGGGCGCACGGUUGCGUAACGCGUGGGAACCUGCCCUUAGGUUCGGAAUAACUCCCCGAAAGGGGUGCUAAUACCGGAUAAUGUCUUCGGACCAAAGAUUUAUCGCCUUUGGAUGGGGCCGCGUUGGAUUAGCUAGUUGGUAGGGUAAAAGCCUACCAAGGCGACGAUCCAUAGCUGGUUUGAGAGGAUGAUCAGCCACACUGGGACGGAGACACGGCCCAGACUCCUGCGGGAGGCAGCGGUGGGGAAUAUUGGACAAUGGGCGAAAGCCUGAUCCAGCAAUGCCGCGUGAGUGAUGAAGGCCUUGGGGUUGUAAAGCUCUUUUACCCGGGCUGAUAAUGACAGUACCGGGAGAAUAAGCUCCGGCUAACUCCGUG